RNAcentral lists this ribosomal RNA (657 nucleotides) under uncultured bacterium. RNAcentral describes it as "bacterial SSU rRNA". It matches the Rfam family "Bacterial small subunit ribosomal RNA", at positions 232 to 885 of the family's 1533-position model. The record is from RNAcentral.
CGCGGCCUAUCAGCUUGUUGGCGAGGUAACGGCUCACCAAGGCAACGACGGGUAGCUGGUCUGAGAGGAUGGCCAGCCACAUUGGGACUGAGAUACGGCCCAGACUCCUACGGGAGGCAGCAGUGGGGAAUAUUGCACAAUGGGCGCAAGCCUGAUGCAGCGACGCCGCGUGGGGGAUGACGGCCUUCGGGUUGUAAACCUCUUUCACCAUCGGCGAAGCCGGGAGCUUUUGUUUCCGGUGACGGUAGGUGGAGAAGAAGCACCGGCCAACUACGUGCCAGCAGCCGCGGUAAUACGUAGGGUGCGAGCGUUGUCCGGAAUUACUGGGCGUAAAGAGCUCGUAGGUGGUUUGUCGCGUUGUCCGUGAAAUUCCCUGGCUUAACUGGGGGCGUGCGGGCGAUACGGGCAGACUGGAGUACUGCAGGGGAGACUGGAAUUCCUGGUGUAGCGGUGGAAUGCGCAGAUAUCAGGAGGAACACCGGUGGCGAAGGCGGGUCUCUGGGCAGUAACUGACGCUGAGGAGCGAAAGCGUGGGGAGCGAACAGGAUUAGAUACCCUGGUAGUCCACGCCGUAAACGGUGGGUACUAGGUGUGGGUUUCCUUCCUUGGGAUCCGUGCUGUAGCUAACGCAUUAAGUACCCCGCCUGGGGAGUACGG